UGACACUCGACACUUCUCAGUAACUACGAUGCAAGCACAGUAACCGCCGGAAAAAGAAAAAAAACUUGUACCAAGCAUCCUGUCUGGAGAAUGUAUCUGCCACAAUUGUGGCCUAUAAUGAGAUACCUCGUGGAUUGGAUAAUGUUUGAAUGAUCUUACUUUGUACUGUUCCAUUUUUUCCAUAUCUUUCAACUUCUUUGCCCAGCGACAAUCUCCUUGUAUGAAAUUCUCCUGUCUGGAAGACAGAUAUUCAUCCUCAAUGCCCCUUCGAUUUGAUAUAAAACUAAUAACUAGAUGAUACGGUGGAUUGAAGAGCAAACAAUGGCGGAUUCCCCAACCGUGUGAGAACACAGGCAAGCAAGCUGAUAUAUCUCAUCAUCUCUGAGGAAGCAGAUCUGACAGACAGACAGAUAGUACUUGGAAUUAUUAUUUCCAAUAUUAGUUUAUUGAUAACUAAUGCCACCCUUGAGAAGAUAUUUCAACUGCGACGCAGUACACCACCCUGCGCACUCGCCUUUUCAGGCAUUCAACCACGCCUCGAUUUUUGGACCCGAUCCCCGAAAAGAAAAGAAAGAA
This 576-nucleotide small RNA is filed under the name Histoplasma capsulatum. RNAcentral describes it as "hypothetical RNA". RNAcentral also lists the same sequence under 1 other name. The record is from RNAcentral. Lineage: Eukaryota; Fungi; Ascomycota; Eurotiomycetes; Onygenales; Ajellomycetaceae.